This 253-nucleotide ribosomal RNA is filed under the name uncultured bacterium. RNAcentral describes it as "partial 16S ribosomal RNA". It matches the Rfam family "Bacterial small subunit ribosomal RNA", at positions 524 to 776 of the family's 1533-position model. The record is from RNAcentral.
UACGAAGGGGGCUAGCGUUGCUCGGAAUCACUGGGCGUAAAGCGCACGUAGGCGGACUUUUAAGUCAGGGGUGAAAUCCUGGAGCUCAACUCCAGAACUGCCUUUGAUACUGGAAGUCUUGAGUCCGGAAGAGGUAAGUGGAACUGCGAGUGUAGAGGUGAAAUUCGUAGAUAUUCGCAAGAACACCAGUGGCGAAGGCGGCUCACUGGCCCGAUACUGACGCUGAGGUGCGAAAGCGUGGGGAGCAAACAGG